GAGGAAGUAAAAGUCGUAACAAGGUCUCCGUAGGUGAACCUGCGGAGGGAUCAUUACACAAAUAUGAAGGCGGGCUGGAACCUCUCGGGGUUACAGCCUUGCUGAAUUAUUCACCCUUGUCUUUUGCGUACUUCUUGUUUCCUUGGUGGGUUCGCCCACCACUAGGACAAACAUAAACCUUUUGUAAUUGCAAUCAGCGUCAGUAACAAAUUAAUAAUUACAACUUUCAACAACGGAUCUCUUGGUUCUGGCAUCGAUGAAGAACGCAGCGAAAUGCGAUAAGUAGUGUGAAUUGCAGAAUUCAGUGAAUCAUCGAAUCUUUGAACGCACAUUGCGCCCUUUGGUAUUCCAAAGGGCAUGCCUGUUCGAGCGUCAUUUGUACCCUCAAGCUUUGCUUGGUGUUGGGCGUCUUGUCUCUAGCUUUGCUGGAGACUCGCCUUAAAGUAAUUGGCAGCCGGCCUACUGGUUUCGGAGCGCAGCACAAGUCGCACUCUCUAUCAGCAAAGGUCUAGCAUCCAUUAAGCCUUUUUUUCAACUUUUGACCUCGGAUCAGGUAGGGAUACCCGCUGAACUUAAGCAUAUC
This 583-nucleotide ribosomal RNA is filed under the name Alternaria sp. DBC-AD. RNAcentral describes it as "eukaryotic LSU rRNA". The stretch from base 222 to 375 matches the Rfam family "5.8S ribosomal RNA". Lineage: Eukaryota; Fungi; Ascomycota; Dothideomycetes; Pleosporales; Pleosporaceae. The record is from RNAcentral.